CAUAGUGCAUGUUUACGAGGUUAAGAUUCUACAGAUGUUGCAUAAUAUUGGUGACAAAGUGUCUCUCCUUAGGGGUUGAUUUAAAUAACAUAUGAUCUACUGAAAUAAAUUUUUUGGUGCCCAAACAUUGAAAUUCUGGUUCUUUGUUUCAAACACCAAAAUGUUGUUUACCUUGUCGUUCUAUGCUUAAAUGAUAAAAAUGUCUCAUUUAUAGGAAUGUAAACCUGAUGUAGAAUAGUAUUUACUUGUUGCUGUUAGUUACUACUUGUAUCCGCUGAUUUCUAUUCCUCAUUUUGCUUGUUUUACUCUUAUUUAUGCUCACGGACUGCCUACAAGUUAACAUGCUGUUAGAUUUGCCUUUACUUUGUUCCAAACCAUUUUGUUUGAUAACUUGCAGACGUUGUCCUUCAUUCAUGUUUCGUCGUGAGAUCUAGGACGAAGAAGUUGGGAGAAUCAUAAAGUUCUAGCUCAUUGGAGCUAGUUAUACUUGUAUGGCUAGUUAUUUUUUUUGGAUUUUUUAGUUGUGUUACCUGAUGUGAACUAGUUCUGAUUGUAAACCUCAUGUGAUCUUAGAACUAUUAUUGCUCUAGUCUGGUGGGAGUUGUGGAAGCAUAGGAAUGCUAUUGUUUUUGAAGGGGCGCGCCCUUGCUUGGAGUAUCUACUAGGGCGAGUGAGGCAUGAGGGCCAACUGUGGGCAUCGGCCGGGCUAAUGAAAGGGAAUGUAACUCCCUUCUUUACUAGAGUGGAGAGGUGGGAGAUGAGUGAGGAGUAAUAUGUAACAAAACCGUGUAAUUGUGGUGGAGGCUUUCUAUGCCUUUCUUCUUUAAUAUAUGAUAUGCACACUCAUGCAUAUUCGAAAAAAAUAAACCUCAUGUGAACCAUGUUUGAUUGCAAUGUGCCAAGUUUGGCUCUGUUUGAUUGUAUUCAUGAUGUGAACCAUGUUUUCAUGAUAUUUAGUUGUUCU
RNAcentral lists this long non-coding RNA (964 nucleotides) under Triticum aestivum (bread wheat). RNAcentral's name for it is "long non-coding RNA (TAES_LNC016163)". The record is from RNAcentral. Lineage: Eukaryota; Viridiplantae; Streptophyta; Magnoliopsida; Poales; Poaceae.